CUUAGUCUAUAAAUUAUCUUUAUUCUUUGACAUCUUACAGAUCUCUACACAGACAUCUGUGACCCUUCAGACGUUCAGGAUGCCCCAGAGAAGGGAACAUAGAGCUUCCUGUCUGCAUUACAUAAACUUUUCCUAAUAAAUGCAUAUGGUUAAGUUAUAAGGAAGGUAUAGUUGUAGACUAAACCAAAUAUUUUUUGUUUUAUUUUUUUUUGAGACAAAGUCUUGCUCUAUGGCCCAGGCUAGAACACAGUGGUAUGAUCUCAGCUCACUACAACCUCCACCUCCUGGAUUCAAGUGAUUCUCCUGCCUCAGCCUCAAAAUGAGAAGUUUUGAGAAGCAGUUUUGUUUGGGUCAAGGGGUACUUUCAAAUUACACUUAUGAGUCAGUAUCUAUAAAAAGUUUCAGAAGUACCUACAAUUUAGCCCUCUACAUCCAAGCAGUAGCUUUGCAGUAUGCUCUUACUUAGGUUUGCCCAAGUACAAAUAAAUUUUACAAAGCUUGAUAAUCUAAUAAAAUUCCCUCUUCCUAAAGCCAAACAGAUAAUUUUGGUGACAACAAUCUAGCAAAAAAGGAAGAAUUUUUUUUUCUUUUUUUUUUUUUUUUUUUGAGACAGGUUCUCAUGCUGUCACCCAGGCCGGUGUGCAGUGGCACAAUCUUGGCUCACUGCAGCCUUGACCUCCUGGGCUCAAGUGAUCCUGCAACCUCAGCCUCCCAAGCAGAUGGGACCACAGGUACAAGCCACAACGCCCGGCUAAUUUUUAUAUAUUUUUUGGUAGAGACGGAGUCUCAUCACGUUGCCCAGGCUAGUCUCGAACUCCUGAGUUCAAGCCAUCUUCCCGUCUCACCUCGGCCUCUCAAAGUGCUGGGAUUACAGGUGUGAGCCACCAUGCCCAGCCUAAAAAAGGGAGAAAUUUCUAGGUGCAUACUGCCUGCUGGACUGUAUAGCCCAUUACAACAUCUGGUCACUAAGAACCUCCUAUUAAUUCCUUACUUGCAUUCUCAGGAUCAAGACAAAAAAUAUGAGCAAGCAAAAACUUAUCAUCAAGCAAAAAGGUAUCUAUCUAUUAAAAUAGCUAGAUAUUUCCCAAACACCCCUCCUAGGAUAUCUGCUGCCAAUAAAAAGUUUGGGGCUAGUGAAAACUCUUGGCAUUAAAUAAAAGUAGGAAUCUAUUUCAUUGGCUUUCUCUGUGGCUCAAACUAUGGCCAUGGAAAAUUAUGCUCUGGAUAUAAUUGUGAAUAUAGAGGUCUUUAAACUGUGUCAUUGA
This 1265-nucleotide long non-coding RNA is filed under the name Homo sapiens (human). Its description in RNAcentral is "non-protein coding lnc-TMEM69-1:1". The record is from RNAcentral. Lineage: Eukaryota; Metazoa; Chordata; Mammalia; Primates; Hominidae.